Papilio xuthus (Asian swallowtail) is the source of this 45-nucleotide non-coding RNA. The record is from Rfam. NCBI's taxonomy places the organism in Eukaryota, Metazoa, Arthropoda, Insecta, Lepidoptera, Papilionidae.
AAAUAGGUUUUAUUAAAAACCAUUUUUUUUAUUGUAGAAUAACAG